This 543-nucleotide unclassified non-coding RNA is filed under the name Hevea brasiliensis (rubber tree). Lineage: Eukaryota; Viridiplantae; Streptophyta; Magnoliopsida; Malpighiales; Euphorbiaceae. The record is from RNAcentral.
AUAACCCCAGCACCAAACUGAUCCAUCAUCUGCCAUUACAUAUACAUAAAAGAAAUUAGAGGCUUAAAAUCAUCACAAACUACUAAUGGUACAACAUAUACCAGUCAGAAAUCAGAAUGUGGCCUUAGCUAGUACUUAACCCCAAAUGUUAUUUAACAUCCAACAGUUUUACAAAUACCAUAUGUCACUAAAAUCACACAAGCAAUGAGCAUAGAAGUCCAUCUAUGCAGUGAUAUAAAAAAGAGAAUAAAUCUGUGGAGUGCAGCAGUAAAGUGUGCAAAAAAUUUCCACCAUAGAAUCAGCAGAUGUUACAUUAAGCAGGAAAUAAACCUUGCCUUUGCCUCGUGAAAAGCAUAGACAAAGCUUAAUCCUAGUUUUCAAAAUUUAACCAUACCAGCCACACAAGACCUCACCAGACAACUUUAUAAGCAUCAACAGCACUAACAUUUUCCAUUUCUAACCCAAAAACAAAAGAGAGGGAAAACAAAGGUUGGGAAUUGAACAGAGGGGUAAACUAACCUGCAAGAGCCAUACUGUGAUAAG